Molecule: long non-coding RNA, 1447 nt
Organism: Lagenorhynchus albirostris (white-beaked dolphin)
Lineage: Eukaryota; Metazoa; Chordata; Mammalia; Artiodactyla; Delphinidae
Exons: 3
Source: RefSeq, a predicted model, not a curated record
ACAAAUCUGCUCUUGGGACUCGGCUUCGGGAGGAGCCCACGCACCGCGGGGCCCUGGCCGCUCGGCCGCCGGGACAGUAGAACAGGGUCAGUGGGCUUCCACUCAAGGCCAGGAUUUCGGCAGGAAACCCCGCGCGACAGAUGUCGUUAUCAAAAGUCCUUACUGGACGAGGACUCCUAGCACGGAGGCUGACGGCCCAUUUAUCUAGAAAGCUUGAGCCAAACAAAGGUUUCCGGCGGUCUUACUGGUGUUAACGUGGGGUGUUUAUCAUGAAGAAAGUACUGUACGGCUCCGCGAGGGAAGGCCCUGCAGGAGGUUCCGGGCCGCCAAACUCUGGGCAGGUCCACGAUCCCCGCCGCUGCCCUUUUUUCAACUGCCUGUAGCACUGGAAGCUCGCUGCCGGCUUGGGAGAUCCCUUCCGGGUCGAAGGGCGGAGGGGGCGGAGCGCUCAGAGGGCCCGCCCUCCGGCUGAUGGGCGGGGCCUCUGUGGUACGACGUCGUGCGUGGCGCAGCCAUCUUGGAGCCGGGCGAUGGCGUCCUCAGGGCGGAAGUGUGGCGUGGAGGGAGCCGGUGUUGUCAAGUCUGUGACUCUCAGGUGUUCCCUUGAUCUGGCUUCCCAGGCUCCUGUCAAGUUAUGAUCUCUUAAAGGAGCUGCAUUCUUGGCUCUGCUUCUGCUGAGUCGGUUCCGACUUUGCCUGUCAGGCACAGCUGAUGGGCAGUCUUCCCAUCUGCAGGACCCGCCGAGGCAGCCCCCCCACCCCCCGGGCAGCAGGAUGUGGUCGCAGAGGUUCUUGCUGCCUUUGAGAGACGGUCUCCGGACCCUUCUUUUCUGUUGGCUCAUGGCUUCUCCCAGACCCUCCACCUGUGUGCAUCUCUUCGCCCCGUGGCUGCCCAGCCGAGGAAUCUGCUUAGCAUUUAAAGCAGAAACAGAACCAGCCCUGCCCCCCAGAAAUUGAACUUUUUGUUGUUUGUCUUCAGAAAAGCAAACCAGGUGUUGAGUUGGGCUCAUCUGGAUUGCUUCAGCCAUGGGUGAACAGCCAGACCUUCCCAUUUCAAUAUCCACACGCCUCAUUUCUCCCUCCCUAGUGAGGGUCAGAGGUGCUUUGGUUGUGCAUGACACAGGCUACCCCAUUUCACUGCUGGAGAGCUCAGAGCUCGCUGUGUAAGAAACAGAGGGAGGUAAGAGAAAGGAAAGCAGGAUGGCCCCUGCUGAUCAUGCUCCCAGGAGCCUUCUGUACCCUGGGAGCUGGGCUCACAAAUGGUCUGGUGUUUCAGGGAUGGGCCUUAUUUUGGAGCCAGACUGCUGGGGUUCACAUUAUGGUGUUGUCUCCUCCUGGCUGUGUGGCUUCAACUUCUCUGUGCCCUCGUUUCCUCACUUGUGGACUGGGGUUAACCCCACAGGGUGUGAGGAUUAGAUAAAUUAAAUCAUGGAAGGGGCUAAUGGUCA